Phrynosoma platyrhinos (Desert horned lizard) is the source of this 69-nucleotide non-coding RNA. Lineage: Eukaryota; Metazoa; Chordata; Lepidosauria; Squamata; Phrynosomatidae. The record is from the annotation of a GenBank genome assembly.
AGCCUGGUGGAAUGAUUUCCGUGUCAGACUACAACUCUGAAGACUAGGGUUCAAAUCCCAGCUGGGCCA